Gossypium raimondii (Peruvian cotton) is the source of this 1095-nucleotide long non-coding RNA. RefSeq lists it as uncharacterized. Lineage: Eukaryota; Viridiplantae; Streptophyta; Magnoliopsida; Malvales; Malvaceae. The transcript is spliced from 3 exons. The record is from RefSeq and is a predicted model, not a curated record.
UUGGAAAAGGAGAAGGGUAGGUUGAGGCAGGGAAGCAUGCAGGGUGGUCUAAGGGUUUGGUUGUUGAAGUCCGUAAAUCUAACCCUCAUGCGCCUUCACGAGAAAAUCAUUACACCUUUCACCUCCAAUUUUCCUGGGGUUUUCUUCUUUUUCUAUUUAUUACCUGUUGCAACUCAAACAUAAUCUUUGGCUGCUUUCUGAUUUUUGUGUAUUACCAUCUUUCCAUGCAUUUCCCCUCCCACUAGGAAAAUAGUUGUAACUUGGUAUUGAUAGAAGAGGUCCGAUGCUUAUCAGUACAGCUCCGACGAUCGGCGGAAACAGCAUUGAUAGAAAGCUUCAUUUCUCCAGAUAUGAGUUCGGUUUCCCACAUGUCGCCAUGACUCAAGUUCUGAGAAGAUUCUGCGGCUGCUGCUGCCGGUGCCACCAAAUUAUUAGGUUGCUGCUCUACUGGGUGUUGAUUAACAAGCAAGUUUUCAUUAAUCAAUGAAUCUAGAAACGAGGAGAACAUAUCUUCAUUGCAAUUUUCCAUAUGAUCCCCUUCGUUUCCAUGGCUGCUUGGUUCCCCCAUGAUAAGAGUUGCACUUUCAGUAUAAUGCCGUUUCUCCAUGCUCUUAUCAACCUGUUGGUUUUGAGAUUGCUGCUGAUACCCAUGUUCCAGGUUAGUCGGUGUACCAUCUUUGGUAGUGUUUGUAGUUUUAAUGGUAAUGGUUUUUGAUGCUAAUACAGAAGGAUUAGGGAUAGGGGGGCUAGGGUUUGAUUUUGGAACAGGAUCAUGAUUAAUCUGUGGUGAUUUAUGGGUAAUAAGGUUCAAUGGUUUAUGGGUUCUUGGAUCUAUUCCUUGGCUGAUCAGCUUCUUGCUUAGAUGGGUAUUCCAGUAGUUCUUUAUUUCAUUAUCUGUACGCCCUGGAAUCCUACCAGCUAUCAGUGACCACCUGCAAGAUUCAAAAUGGAACAAGCGAUGAAGGCGAAGAAUGAGAUCUUCUUCAUCGGGAGCAAUACGACCUCGUUUAACAGAGGGUCGGAGAUAAUUCAUCCACCGGAGACGACAACUCUUACCGCAUCGAAGCAAACCAGCUCGUUUAGGCAAAGUCCGCC